GUCCGUUUGAAGGUAUAAAUGGUCUGGCCUGCUCACUGAUGGAAUUAUUUAAGAGCUGCGGUAUAUUGACCGUGCAAAGGUAGCAUAAUCAUUAGGGGUUUAAUUGGAACCUGGUAUGAAGGGUUGGACAAAGGAAAGACUGUCUUUAUAGUGUAAGUUGAAAUUUACCUUUAAAUGAAAAGGCUGAAAUAUAUUAAUAAAGCUUUAUAAGUUAUUUAAACUUUGUUGAUUUAAAGAAAAAUAAAAGUCAAAUUUAAUUGUUUUAUUUUGUUGGGGUGAUAUGAGUAUAAUUGUUAUUAACUGCUUAGAAAAAAUACUAUUAUUAGAGAAUUGUAGAAUAUAUGAUCCUUUUUAAAGACUAAAAGACCAAGUUACUUUAGGGAUAACAGGGUUAUUUCUUUUGAGAAUUCAUAUUUAAAAAGAAGAUUGCGACCUCAAUGUUGAAUUAAAAUAUUUAUAUAAUGCAGCCGUUAUAAAAGAGGGUCUGUUCGACCU
Molecule: ribosomal RNA, 495 nt
Filed under: Glyptoxanthus erosus
Lineage: Eukaryota; Metazoa; Arthropoda; Malacostraca; Decapoda; Xanthidae
Description: partial 16S large subunit ribosomal RNA
Source: RNAcentral